ACCUAGAGACCGGCGCACGGGUGCGUAACGCGUAUGCUAUCUACCUUUUACAGAGGGAUAGCCCAGAGAAAUUUGGAUUAAUACCUCAUAGUAUUAUUGAAUGGCAUCAUUUAAUAAUUAAAGUCACAACGGUAAAAGAUGAUCAUGCGUCCCAUUAGCUUGUUGGUAAGGUAACGGCUUACCAAGGCAACGAUGGGUAGGGGUCCUGAGAGGGAGAUCCCCCACACUGGUACUGAGACACGGACCAGACUCCUACGGGAGGCAGCAGUGAGGAAUAUUGGUCAAUGGGCGCAAGCCUGAACCAGCCAUGCCGCGUGCAGGAUGAAGCAUCUAUGGUGUGUAAACUGCUUUUGUACGAGAAGAAACACUCCUACGUGUAGGAGCUUGACGGUAUCGUAAGAAUACGGACCGGCUAACUCCGUGCCAGCAGCCGCGGUAAUACAUGAGGGUCCAAGCGUUAUCCGGAAUCAUUGGCUUUAAAG
Molecule: ribosomal RNA, 482 nt
Filed under: uncultured bacterium
Lineage: Bacteria
Description: bacterial SSU rRNA
Rfam family: Bacterial small subunit ribosomal RNA
Source: RNAcentral